Molecule: ribosomal RNA, 369 nt
Filed under: Chaetoceros curvisetus
Lineage: Eukaryota; Bacillariophyta; Thalassiosirophyceae; Chaetocerotales; Chaetocerotaceae
Description: partial Bacterial small subunit ribosomal RNA
Rfam family: Bacterial small subunit ribosomal RNA
Source: RNAcentral
ACACAGGUGCUGCAUGGCUGUCGUCAGCUCGUGUCGUGAGAUGUUCGGUUAAGUCCGGCAACGAGCGCAACCCACAUCUUUAGUUGCCAGCAGUUCGGCUGGGCACUCUAGAGAAACUGCCCGUGAUAAGCGGGAGGAAGGUGGGGAUGACGUCAAGUCCUCAUGGCCCUUACGGGUUGGGCUACACACGUGCUACAAUGGCAUCUACAGUGGGUUAAUCCCCAAAAGAUGUCUCAGUUCGGAUUGGGGUCUGCAACUCGACCCCAUGAAGUCGGAAUCGCUAGUAAUCGCGUAACAGCAUGACGCGGUGAAUACGUUCCCGGGCCUUGUACACACCGCCCGUCACACCAUGGGAGUGGGUUGCACCAG